RNAcentral lists this unclassified non-coding RNA (330 nucleotides) under soil metagenome. Its description in RNAcentral is "partial contains 5.8S ribosomal RNA, internal transcribed spacer 2, and large subunit ribosomal RNA". The stretch from base 1 to 118 matches the Rfam family "5.8S ribosomal RNA", at positions 35 to 154 of the family's 154-position model. The record is from RNAcentral.
GAUGAAACGCAGCGAAAUGCGAUAAGUAAUGUGAAUUGCAGAAUUCAGUGAAUCAUCGAAUCUUUGAACGCACAUUGCGCCCGCCAGUAUUCUGGCGGGCAUGCCUGUUCGAGCGUCAUUUCAACCAUCAAGCCCUGCUUGCGUUGGGGUCCUGCGGCUGCCCGCAGGCCCUGAAAACCAGUGGCGGGCUCGCUAGUCACACCGAGCGCAGUAAUACAUCUCGCUUUGGGCGUGCGGCGGGUUCUUGCCGUAAAACCCCCAAUUUUUUAAGGUUGACCUCGGAUCAGGUAGGAAUACCCGCUGAACUUAAGCAUAUCAAUAAGCGGAGGA